AUACGGGGGGUGCAAGCGUUGUCCGGAAUCAUUGGGCGUAAAGGGUUCGUAGGUGGAAUUAUAAGUCUGGUGUGAAAGCCCACAGCUCAACUGUGGAACUGCACUGGAUACUGUUUUUCUUGAGUUAUAGAGGGGUUUGUGGAAUUUCUGGUGUAGAGGUGAAAUUUGUAGAGAUCAGAAAGAACACCGGUGGCGAAGGCGACAAACUGGCUAUUAACUGACACUGAGGAACGAAAGCGUGGGGAGCGAACAGGAUUAGAUACCCUAGUAGUCC
Molecule: ribosomal RNA, 274 nt
Filed under: uncultured bacterium
Lineage: Bacteria
Description: partial 16S ribosomal RNA
Rfam family: Bacterial small subunit ribosomal RNA
Source: RNAcentral